CCUGGGGGCGCCCCUGGGACUACUGGUCCCCGUGGGGCAUGGCCAGGCCUGCUCUGGGGUUAAAGCAGAGCUGUCCUUAGCCAGCAAGACCCAGUAACCACAGAGCAAACAAAAAUUGCUGCUUUGGAGACACCAGCAAGCACUUUGACGUUACGGGCUUCAGCUGCUGCAGAAACUUUAUUUGGAAGCAGCAAUUAAAACCAGGAAAAGAUGAGUGAGAAGCAGCAUAUCAAGAUACCCCAGAUUUUUGUUUGCCAUCCAUCUCCUUUUGUCCCUGAUUUUCUGAAAAAAAAUUUAAAAAAAUCUCCCUCUCCUUUGCCUGCCAGAGGUCCCAAAAUGUACUAAACACGAGACAGCCAUGUCCACACCCUUGCACAGGUCCGGCGGCAGAGACAAGGUGGGAGCCAGCCCCAAAGCUCAGGGUCUGCGCGGCAGGCUCCAAGGUGCUCCAGAAGACGCGCUGCUGUACCCCACACGGGCCUGCGGCAGGCUGAGCACACCGUGCUGGCACGCAGGCUCCAGCAGGCUGUGAGCUCCCCCAGAACUGCUGCAUGUGGGCUUGUGAGCGGUGUUUGCAGUCUGGGCAUGGCGGAAGGAUGGUAGUUGAGGUGUUGGCAGGUAUCAGCUUCCCGCCCUCAACCAG
RNAcentral lists this long non-coding RNA (643 nucleotides) under Anser brachyrhynchus (Pink-footed goose). RNAcentral's name for it is "lncRNA (ENSABRG00000005686.1)". The record is from RNAcentral. Lineage: Eukaryota; Metazoa; Chordata; Aves; Anseriformes; Anatidae.